UCUCUUAUAGGUCUCUACUAUUGCUCUCUGAUCAAAUAUUAGAAGAGUGCGAAUCAAAAGAACAUUAACGGGAUAACAAUCAAGUUACGAGUUACUAUUUACUAAUCGGUGCAUACAUGUCACUCAAUAGACACAAAAACCUGGAAACUAGAAAAUCUGAACAUUCUAGAAGAUGGAUUCAACAUUUCUCUUGCAAAUCAUUUGGAAAGUUCACUGCCGUUCACGGGAAUUGCACUCCCUGCUACUAUGAACUAAACUGUUAAUAUUCGAAGGUGGAUAAAUGUCGGCGGACGUUCUCCAAGGAUCACAUUCACCUGACAGCUGUUCAUAGCAUCUGAUACUGUGACUUCAUGAAUAUUGUCUGCAUGCAAAAAAAAAACGCUUGGUUUAUUUUUAGCGACAAACAAAUCCCUUUUAUUGAGAAAGUAUCUAAGCCAAAAAUAUGUUAUGUUACGCAAAAAUAUGCUUAUUUUAAUGGUUCAUCUUUUGUGUCACUUUCAAUAUGAUUUUUUUCAUAAGUGAUCAGUCAAGCCAUAAUCAGUACUGGUGGAAGCGUGGUUGUAUGCGGAUGGUAAACACGGGAGAUUGGAGCACUUUUAAAAGGAGACGUCCACGAGUUUACAAAGAAAGAGUUGAUCCAUUUUCUAUUCCGGACCAUCACUUUAAAGCCAAAUAUCGGUUUAAGAAAUCAACGGCAAAAAAAAUUAUUGGUCUAAUAAAAAAUGAUAUUGAAUUAAGCAAAAGAGGGCACGGGACUCCGGCCGAACUACAAGUUAUGGUUGCUUUGCGUUGUUGGGGUCGCAGAAAGGUUCAAGAUGAUGCGGGAGAUUUGCACGGAUUAGCCCAACCAACGGUUUCAAGAAUAUGCAAUAGAGUUGCUCGCGCUUUGGCUCGUCAUGGUAUGGAAUACAUAAACAUGCCGACAUCUCUCGAAGAGCAAGCCGUAAUAAUGAGAGAUUUUAAGGCCAUUAGAAACUUUCCGGGCGUUAUUGGAGCAAUUGAUGGAACUCAUGUUAAAAUAAAAAAAAACUGGUGGAGAUCUUGCCCAAUAUUAUAUAAACCGGAAAGGAUUCUAUUCACUGAAUGUACAGGUAGUGUGUGAUGCCCAAUUGAAAAUUCGCGACAUAGUUGCUAGGUGGAGAGGAAGUACUCAUGAUUGUCGGAUAUUUAAUGAAUCUUCUAUUAAGGAACGAUUUGAAAAAAAAGUAUUCAGGGGUCGUUUACUUGGAGAUUCAGGAUAUCAGUUGACGCAUUAUCUAUUUACUCCUCUCCUCCGCACUAACAACGAAAAGGAAGAACGCUACAAUGUUGCUCAUAUUGCAACAAGGAAUACAUAAAUUGCCAGAUAAAACUUCAAAAAAUUCUAAAAAUGUUUCAUAGUUAUUUGACUGUUAUUAUGUGUUUGUGAAUACACAAUUUUAAAAUCAGUUUAUUAAGCAAAAAGUGUAUAGUAGUUAAAAUAGAUUUUAAGCCCAUAAUAAGAACUGUUUGUGAAUAAGGCUGUUAAUCUAUAUACAAUACAAAUAUGUAAAAAUUUUAGAUUAAAUAAAAAAACUAUGUAUUGAGGUGUAGAAUAGACUAUAUUUUAACGAAAUCACAAUUUUCAGAGAGAUCAAUACGAUUAUAAUAAUUAUUAAUUUCAACAAAGACACGACGAAAUUGAAGCAGCUGAAAGAUACAGGGGUGAACUAAAGGUAACAUUUGAAUAAAUUCUAUUCAAAAUGAAAUCGGAGACGAUUUUAUCUUGCGAAACUUUGAGAAAGAAGGUAAUAUUUGGAAUCCAAUUUUUUUUUCCUGUUAGGGCGCAGAUUAUUAAAUUUUAUAAUUUUUCUUUGUUUCUCUUUCGGACGAGCUCAAUGAUCGAACAUUUUCUUUGCAAAUGGAAAAGGAAAGCCACUAUGGGACACGUUUCGCAAUUUAGUUACAAUUACUCAUCAGCCAUAUUAUGUGUAAAAGCUUCAAGGGCCGUAUGUUGUACUUGUACCGAAUUUAUUGGGAAAACCACUUUAUGAUACAAAUACCACAUUUCACAUGUUCGACAACCCUGUCUAUUAGCUGUUCUUCUCCUUACACACCAACCACUAUGGGACGCGUUUCGCAAUUUUGUUACAAUUACUCAUCAGCCAAAUUAUAUGUGAAAGCUUCCAGGGCCGUGUGUUGGUAUGUUGUACUUGUACCGAAUUUAUUGCCAAAUCGCCUCUAUGAUACAAAUACCACAUUAACCACGCUCGACAACCCUGUCUAGUUCCUCGUAGUUGGCUCGCCCCAAAGUGAAGUUUUUGCAAAGAAAAAUACUUUCAAACCAGAUUAUAUAUUUUAUUUAUUAAUUUUUAUACCCUCCACCAUAGGAUGGGGGUAUACUAAUUUCGUCAUUCUGUUUGUAACACCUCGAAAUAUACGUCUAAGACCCCAUAAAGUAUAUAUAUUCUUGAUCGUCAUGCCAAUUUAAGUCGAUUUAGCCAUGUCCUUCCGUCUGUCCGUCCGUCCGUCUGUCUGUCGAAAGCACGCUAACUUUCGAAGGAGUAAAGCUAGCCGCUUGAAAUUUUUCACAAAUACUUUUUAUUAUUGUAGGUCGGUUGGUAUUGUAAAUGGGCCAAAUCGGUACAUGUUUUGAUAUAGCCGCCAUAUAAACCGAACUUGGGUCCUGACUUAUUGAGCCUCUAGAGGGCGCAAUUCUCGUCCGAUUUGACUGAAAUUUUGCACGUAUUGUUUUGGUAGCACUUGUAACGAACCCCAACCUUAUGGCCCUAACUCCUCAAAGACGGUGCUACCUAGAUUUCCGGCCGUGCUCAUGGAUAGUGGGGGGGUCGUUGUCCUCUUAGAGUUUGGGUACGGGUCGUCAACAUAAGAAUUUAAAAAUAGGUAGGUAGCAUUAUCCUUCAGAUUCGAUUUAAAACCAAAUAAUAAAAAAGUGGAACUAAUAAGAUCGCGAGCGGAAAGAGAGUGUGCUGUUUUUUCCCUUUCCUUUCUUUACCCACCCUAACCAUUGCUACUAUUUCGUAUUGUGACAAGCAGCCCUAUUCACCUAACCUAUUCCCAAGUGUUUCGAAAAUUUACAUAAUCAUUAUAACGAUUUAUUUUGUGAAUAAUUAUUAUUUAUUAUAGCGAUAUUUUAAAAUGAAUAUAUAUUAGCUACAGUGGAAUUAAAAUUAAUUAAUAUUUGUAUAUUAAUGGAAAAUAAGUUUUUAAGUGAUUUUUUUUUCAACUGGAGUUAGUUAAAGUUAUUAAUAAAUUAUUUUAAGAAAAUUAAUAAGGUAAAGAAAUUGACAAAAAAAUUAACAUAAUAAGGUUAAUGUUAGGUGUAUCAAUCCUUAAUAGGACUUUGAAUUGAUAAAUAUAAAAAACACAAAUUUAAAAAAAAACUCUCCAAAGCUGCAAAAAUUCCUCA
This is an RNA transcript of Stomoxys calcitrans (stable fly), 3388 nucleotides long. RefSeq lists it as uncharacterized. NCBI's taxonomy places the organism in Eukaryota, Metazoa, Arthropoda, Insecta, Diptera, Muscidae. The record is from RefSeq and is a predicted model, not a curated record. The transcript has 5 exons.